This 253-nucleotide ribosomal RNA is filed under the name uncultured bacterium. Its description in RNAcentral is "partial 16S ribosomal RNA". It matches the Rfam family "Bacterial small subunit ribosomal RNA", at positions 524 to 776 of the family's 1533-position model. The record is from RNAcentral.
UACGUAGGGGGCUAGCGUUGUCCGGAAUCAUUGGGCGUAAAGAGCGUGUAGGCGGCCCGGUAAGUCCGCUGUAAAAGUCAAAGGCUCAACCUUUGAAUGUCAGUGGAUACUGCCGGGCUAGAGUCCGGAAGAGGCGAGUGGAAUUCCUGGUGUAGCGGUGAAAUGCGCAGAUAUCAGGAGGAACACCAAUGGCGAAGGCAGCUCGCUGGAACGGUACUGACGCUGAGGCGCGAAAGCGUGGGGAGCGAACAGG